CCUACGGGUGACAGCAGUGAGGAAUAUUGGUCAAUGGGCGCGAGCCUGAUCCAGCCAAGUAGCGUGAAGGAUGACUGCCCUACGGUUUGUAAACUUCUUUUAUAAAGGAAUAAAGUGAGGCACGUGUGCCUUUUUGUAUGUACUUUAUGAAUAAGGAUCGGCUAACUCCGGGCCAGCAGCCGCGGUAAUACGGAGGAGCCGAGCGUUAUCCGGAUUUAUUGGGUUUAAAGGGAGCGUAGAUGGGUUGUUAAGUCAGUUGUGAAAGUUUGCGGCUCAACCGUAAAAUUGCAAUUGAUACUGGCAGUCUUGAGUACAGUUGAGGUAGGCAGAAUUCGUGGUGUAGCGGUGAAAUGCUUAGAUAUCACGAAGAACUCCGAUUGCGAAGGCAGCUUACUAAACUGACACUGACAUUGAUGCUCGAAAGUGUGGGUAUCAAACAGGAUUAGAUACCCCUGUAGUC
RNAcentral lists this ribosomal RNA (460 nucleotides) under uncultured bacterium. RNAcentral describes it as "partial 16S ribosomal RNA". It matches the Rfam family "Bacterial small subunit ribosomal RNA", at positions 338 to 795 of the family's 1533-position model. The record is from RNAcentral.